CUUGGCUUGCUCUUUUUGCUGCUUUUCUUCGAGAGCUCCAACUGCCUCUCCCUAGGGCAGCUUUGGCAACAUCAUCCGUGAGCACUUCCCGCGCUCUUUGUGGUUUCAUGGUUUCCUUGUUCAGGUAUCUAAGCUUAGGGAGUAAGCUACAAACUGCCUUGCGCAGCUGGUCAUCACUAAUGUUGCUGUGAACUGGAUUUCCCAAUAGGUUUAAUGCUUGCAAUGAGUUGUAGUUAGCAACAAGCUGGCCCAGUGCUUUUGUUGUUGUUAUCUUGUUGAAGCUCAGGUCUAAUACUGUCAACUUCAAAAGCCUAUGUAGCCCUUCGGCAUCAC
RNAcentral lists this long non-coding RNA (333 nucleotides) under Durio zibethinus. Its description in RNAcentral is "long non-coding RNA (DZIB_LNC000015)". Lineage: Eukaryota; Viridiplantae; Streptophyta; Magnoliopsida; Malvales; Malvaceae. The record is from RNAcentral.